This 72-nucleotide transfer RNA is filed under the name Ovis aries (sheep). It matches the Rfam family "tRNA". Rfam says of the family: Transfer RNA (tRNA) molecules are approximately 80 nucleotides in length. Lineage: Eukaryota; Metazoa; Chordata; Mammalia; Artiodactyla; Bovidae. The record is from Rfam by way of RNAcentral.
UCCCUUGUAGCUAAGCCAGUAAAGAAUCUUCCUGCAAUGAAGGAGACCCAGGUUCAAUCCUUGGGUGGGGAA